AGACAGGGUCUCUGUCGCCCACACUGGAGUGCAGUGGUGUCAUUUCUGUUCACUGCAACUUCUGCCUCCCAGGUUCAAGCAGUUCUCCUGUCUCAGCCUCCUGAGUAGCUGGGAUUACAGGUGUGAGCCACCACACCUAGCCUGUAGUUACUUUUUUGAGUAACUAUUUAAGAAUGUAUUGUUUAAUUUCCACAUAUUUGCAAAUUUUUCAGUUUUCCUGUUAGUGAUUUCUAACUUCAUUGCAUUGUGGUUGGAAAAGAUACUUUGUGUGAUUUCAGUCUUUUGAAAUUUACGGCAAGUUUUUUUGUGGUCUAACGUGUUGCCCUAGAGGAUGUUCCAGUGCACUUGAAAAGAAUGUGUAUUCUGCUCGUGUUGGUUGGAGUGUUCUGCAUAUGUCUUUUAGGUCUAGUUGCCUAACGGUGUUGUUUAAGUCUUCUUUUUCCUUAUGUAUCUUUUGCUUAGUUGUACCACCCAUUAUUGAAAGUAGGGUGUUGAAGUCUCUAGCUAUUAUUGUUGAGCCAUUUCUUCCUUCAAGUCUGUCAAUUUUUGCUUCAUAGAAUUUGGGGCUGUGUUGUUAGGGGCAUAUAUGUUUUUAAUUCUUAAAUGUUCUUGAUUGACUCUUAUCAUUAUAUAAUGUCCUUUGUCUUUUUAAGUAGUUUUGUCUUAAUGCCUUUCUUAGUCCACUUGGGCUGCCUAAGUGGCUUAUAAAAAAAAUUAUUUCUCACAGUUCUGGAGGCUGGGAAGUUCAAGAUCAAGACACAGACAGAUUUGGUAUGGUGAGGUGCCGCUUUCUGGUUCAUGGAUGACUGUCUUUUUGCUAUGUUCUCACAUGACAAAAGGAUGAGGGAUCUCUCUUGGUGCCUCUUUUAUAAGGGCACUAAUCCCAUUUAUGAGGACACUGCCCUUAUUUUCUUAAUCACCUUCCAAAGGCCCCACUUCUUAAUCCUAUCACCUUGGAGGUGAUAGGAUUUCAACAUAUGAAUUUUUGGGGGGACUCCAACAGUUAGACCAUCGCAGUGCCUAUUUUGUCUGAUACUAGUAUAGCCACUCCAUUUCUUUUUUGGUUGCUGUUCGCAUGGGCUUUUUCUUUUCUUUCACCUUCAACCUCUUUGUGUCUUUGGAUCUAAAGCAAAUGUCUUGUGUACAGAAUAUUGUUGGAUAAUGCUUUUUAAAUUAAUUCUGCCCAUCUCUGCCUAUUAAUUGGAGGCUUUACUCCAUUUACAUGUAAUAUAAUUGCUGAUAAGGAGGAACAUUUCCCAUUUUAUAUUUCUUUCUGUCUGUCUUAUAUCAGUUUUGUUCAAGCCCUCCAUGACUGAUUUUUGUGUUACAUAUUUUCUAGUGUACCAUUUUGAUUCCCUUCUCAUUUAUUUUACUACAUAAUAGUUAUUUUCUUGGUGUUUGUCCUGGGGAUUAUAAUUAACACCUUCAUUUGUAGCAGUCUAUUUUGAAUUAAUAACAACUUGGUUUCAAUAGUAUAUAAAAUACUUUGCUGCUACAUAGCUCUCCCCCCUCCAAUAAAUCUUUAUGCAUUGUUUGUCCAUCAACACAGAGUUAUAAUUAUUGUUGUAUGUAGUCUUUUAAGUCAUAUAGGGAACAAAAGAGGCAUUAACAAACUGAAAACAUAACCUCUCUGCCUUCUUUGCUUCCUAACACUUUAUAAUAUAAUAUCUCUAAUAUGCUUUCAGAUACUAUUCUAAAUAAUUUACAAAUACUUGUCUAAUCACGUUAUAAAUUUAUAGCCAAGGAAAGUGAGGUGUGAAGAAGACAAAUUGUCCAAGGUAUGGCCAGGCACAGUGGCUCACACCUGUAAUCCCAGCACUUUGGGAGGCCGAUGCAGGCAGAUCACAAGGUCAGGAGUUCUAGACCAGCCUGGCCAAUAUGGCGAAACCCGGUCUCUACUAAAAAUACAAAAACUAACUGGGCAUGGUGGUGGGCAUCUGUAGUCCCAGCUACUCGGGAGGCUGAGGCAGGAGAAUUGCUUGAACCCUGGAGGUGGAGGUUGCAGUAAGCCAAGAUCGCGCCACUACACUCCAGCCUGGGUGACAGAGCAAGACUCUGUUUCAAAAAAAAAAAAAAAAGAAAUUGUCCAAGGUUAUAGAGCUUUUAAAAGAGAAUCAGAUAUUUGAACCCAGGUGACCUGGCUUCGUAAUUCAUAUUCUUAACCACUACAUCUCUUACUUCCUAGAGUUGUAGUACUCCUUCUAUUACACUACAACAGUGAAUGUAAAAUUCAGUUGGAUACAUAAAAUGUGCAUUCAUGUUGAAAAUGAAGGAAAAAUAAAGUGAAAGAUACUGGGAAUCAUUUGGGAGGAAAGAUAACAGCUGGAAGGGACUUUUGAACUAUGGCCUUGAAGACCACGUAGGAUCAAGACUAUUGAUAUUUGAGAGAAUUUUAUUUAUUUAUUUUUUGUAAUGGAGUCUCGCUCUGUCACCCAGGCUGGAGUGCGGUGGCAUGAUCUCAGCUCACUGCAACCUCCGCCUCCUGGGUCCACACCAUUCUCCUGUGUCAGCCUCCCGAGCAGCUGGGACUACAGGCACAUGCCACCACGCCCAGCUAAAAUUUGCAUUUUUAGUAGAGGUGGGAUUUCACCAUGUCUCAAUUUCUUGACCACGUGAUCCGACCACCUUGGCCUCCCAAAGUGCUGGGAUUAUAGGCAUGAGCCACCGCAUCCGGCCUGAGAGUACAUUUUAGAAGGAGCAAGGUGAAGAGAGGGAUCAAGACAAAGAAAAUCAAGGCCUACUUGAGAAGCAGAUUGUUAUUGAAAGGCAUUGAAAAGGAGUGUUGAAAAGGUUCACUUUUGGAAGAAUUUGAAAGCCAGACUAAGCAGUUUGAAUUUUAUUAUGCAGGCAGUAGCUAAUCAUUGAACCUUUUUGAGCAGGGGAGAACUAUUAAGAAUUUUGUAUAUAAAUCUGAAAGC
Molecule: long non-coding RNA, 2918 nt
Filed under: Homo sapiens (human)
Lineage: Eukaryota; Metazoa; Chordata; Mammalia; Primates; Hominidae
Description: HSALNT0359453
Source: RNAcentral